RNAcentral lists this ribosomal RNA (460 nucleotides) under uncultured bacterium. Its description in RNAcentral is "partial 16S ribosomal RNA". It matches the Rfam family "Bacterial small subunit ribosomal RNA", at positions 338 to 795 of the family's 1533-position model. The record is from RNAcentral.
CCUACGGGAGGCAGCAGUGAGGAAUAUUGGUCAAUGGCCGGAAGGCUGAACCAGCCAUGCCGCGUGAAGGUCAGUGCCCUAUGGGCGUUAAACUUCUGUUGUGCGGGAGCAAUAAUGGUCACGUGUGGCCAGACGAGAGUACCGUACGAAUAAGCAUCGGCUAACUCCGUGCCAGCAGCCGCGGUAAUACGGGGGAUGCAAGCGUUAUCCGGAUUUAUUGGGGUUAAAGGGUGCGUAGGCUGUGAGGUAAGUCAGCGGUGAAAUGCCCCCGCUCAACGGGGUGAAGUGCCAUUGAUACUGCCUUGCUGGAAUGCGGAUGCCGUGGGAGGAAUGUGUGGUGUAGCGGUGAAAUGCAUAGAUAUCACACAGAACACCGAUUGCGAAGGCAUCUCACGAAUCCGCGAUUGACGCUGAUGCACGAAAGCGUGGGUAUCAAACAGGAUUAGAGACCCUUGUAGUC